GAGAGAGAGGGAGAGGAGAGAGCGAACUGAGGAGGAAGAGCUUCAGUGACCCCACCGUGGGAGUCUGGAGGAGUAGACACCUGACCUUAUGCACUUCUCUGACACCUGCCAGUGCUGAAGACUCCAGAGGGUUGUACUUCAUGCAGAGUAGUAGAAGAAAAGAGGACAGUACCCCAUCUCUAAGAGCAUCCUAUGGGCAAACAAAUCCAGAGAGAUUGAGGAACCAACUUCAUAUUCCCCUUCUGAACAAAGACAAAAUUUCAUCUGCACCUGUGAAACUGGGGAGCCUAGUGAUCACCAGUGCUUCCGUAAAGCACCAUCCCAGCUCUGCAGAGGUGGGCUAAGGUAGCAGCAGCUCAUAGGACCAGAAUUCUCUUUCAAAAUAAUUUUAGAUCCACACUUAACUUACAGAUAAAAGGACACCCGAAGCCCUGAGGUCUACAACUCUAGAAAAUCAUGACUAUAAUAAUUCUCGUAUGGCCUAGAAAAUUUAA
This is a non-coding RNA of Callorhinus ursinus (northern fur seal), 494 nucleotides long. The record is from RefSeq and is a predicted model, not a curated record. Lineage: Eukaryota; Metazoa; Chordata; Mammalia; Carnivora; Otariidae.